This 551-nucleotide ribosomal RNA is filed under the name Hoplodactylus sp. Otago Southland. RNAcentral describes it as "partial 16S ribosomal RNA". It matches the Rfam family "Bacterial large subunit ribosomal RNA", at positions 1809 to 2594 of the family's 2925-position model. Lineage: Eukaryota; Metazoa; Chordata; Lepidosauria; Squamata; Diplodactylidae. The record is from RNAcentral.
AAAAACAUAGCCUUUAGCCAAACAAGUAUUAAAGGUCUAGCCUGCCCAGUGAACUAUUUCAACGGCCGCGGUAUCCUAACCGUGCAAAGGUAGCGUAAUCAUUUGUCUUCUAAUUAGAGACUUGUAUGAACGGCUAACUGAGGAUCCAACUGUCUCCUUGGGCCAAUCAAUGAAACUGAUCUUUCAGUACAAAAGCUGAAAUAAACACAUAAGACGAGAAGACCCUGUGGAGCUUAAAACCCAUACUAUAGUUCCAAAUAAAGCCCUAAGGGAAUACAUUCCCCCCCACAUAGUAAAAGUUUUCAGUUGGGGCGACUUUGGAAUAAAAUAAAACUUCCAUGCCAGGGGCCUCCCCUAUAAAGGCUAACAUGCCAAAAUAAUAUUUUAUUGACCCAGCCUGUCUGAUCAACGAACCAAGUUACCCCAGGGAUAACAGCGCCAUCCUCUUCAAGAGUUCCUAUCGACAAGAGGGUUUACGACCUCGAUGUUGGAUCAGGACACCCCGGUGGUGCAGCCGCUACCAAAGGUUCGUUUGUUCAACGAUUAACAGU